Molecule: ribosomal RNA, 309 nt
Filed under: uncultured Streptococcus sp.
Lineage: Bacteria; Bacillati; Bacillota; Bacilli; Lactobacillales; Streptococcaceae
Description: bacterial SSU rRNA
Rfam family: Bacterial small subunit ribosomal RNA
Source: RNAcentral
AGAUGUUGGUUAAGUCCGCAACGAGCGCAACCCCUAUUGUUAGUUGCCAUCAUUCAGUUUGGGCACGUCUAGCGAGACUGCCGGUAUAAACCGGAGGAAGGUGGGGAUGACGUCAAAUCAUCAUGCCCUUAUGACCUGGGCUACACACGUGCUACAAUGGUUGGUACAACGAGUUGCGAGUCGGUGACGGCGAGCUAAUCUCUUAAAGCCAAUCUCAGUUCGGAUUGUAGGCUGCAACUCGCCUACAUGAAGUCGGAAUCGCUAGUAAUCGCGGAUCAGCACGCCGCGGUGAAUACGUUCCCGGGCCUU